Molecule: ribosomal RNA, 253 nt
Filed under: uncultured bacterium
Lineage: Bacteria
Description: partial 16S ribosomal RNA
Rfam family: Bacterial small subunit ribosomal RNA
Source: RNAcentral
GACAGAGGGUGCCAACGUUGUUCGGAAUUACUGGGCGUAAAGCGUGUGUAGGCGGUCCACUAAGUCGGAUGUGAAAGCCCUGGGCUCAACCCAGGAAGUGCACUCGAGACUGGUGGACUAGAGUAUCGGAGAGGUUGGUGGAAUUCUCGGUGUAGAGGUGAAAUUCGUAGAUAUCGAGAGGAACACCGGUGGCGAAGGCGGCCAACUGGACGAAUACUGACGCUGAGACACGAAAGCGUGGGGAGCGAACGGG